This 440-nucleotide ribosomal RNA is filed under the name uncultured bacterium. RNAcentral's name for it is "partial 16S ribosomal RNA". It matches the Rfam family "Bacterial small subunit ribosomal RNA", at positions 338 to 795 of the family's 1533-position model. The record is from RNAcentral.
CCUACGGGUGGCAGCAGUGGGGAAUAUUGCACAAUGGGGGGAACCCUGAUGCAGCGACGCCGCGUGAGUGAAGAAGUAUUUCGGUAUGUAAAGCUCUAUCAGCAGGGAAGAAAAUGACGGUACCUGACUAAGAUGCACAGGCUAACUACGUGCCAGCAGCCGCGGUAAUACGUAGGGGGCAAGCGUUAUCCGGAUUUACUGGGUGUAAAGGGAGCGUAGACGGCAGAGCAAGUCUGAAGUGAAAGCACGCGGCACAAAUGCGAGAAUGCAUUGGAAAAUGGCCGGCUAGAGUGCUGGAGAGGUAAGCGGAAUUCCUGGUGUAGCGGUGAAAUGCGUAGAUAUUAGGAGGAACACCAGUGGCGAAGGCAGCUUACUGGACAGUAACUGACGUUGAGGCUCGAAAGCGUGGGGAGCAAACAGGAUUAGAUACCCCAGUAGUC